GCCUGCUUGAAGGACACAUGGUUGAAGCAUGGAGACAUUUUUCUCCUUUGUCCUGUCUAAAACAUGUGUCAUCAGCGAUUUGCCCAGCAGAGUUCCAGGAUGUUCCUCAGAAUUGACAGCUGUGAGGAUGCCAAGACCUCAAACUCAAAACCAGUUGAGACAAGUGAAACUUAAGCCAUUUGUCAAACAAGCAUCUCACAGCUAUGAAGAAUGAAGCCUUCAGAAUGAACUUAGAACCAAGUAGCUGG
RNAcentral lists this long non-coding RNA (248 nucleotides) under Mustela putorius furo (domestic ferret). RNAcentral describes it as "lncRNA (ENSMPUG00000025168.1)". The record is from RNAcentral. Lineage: Eukaryota; Metazoa; Chordata; Mammalia; Carnivora; Mustelidae.